RNAcentral lists this ribosomal RNA (429 nucleotides) under Bacillota bacterium. RNAcentral's name for it is "Firmicutes bacterium partial 16S ribosomal RNA". It matches the Rfam family "Bacterial small subunit ribosomal RNA", at positions 355 to 776 of the family's 1533-position model. The record is from RNAcentral. Lineage: Bacteria; Bacillati; Bacillota.
UAGGGAAUUUUCGGCAAUGGACGGAAGUCUGACCGAGCAACGCCGCGUGAGUGAAGAAGGUUUUCGGAUCGUAAAGCUCUGUUGUUAGAGAAGAAUGUUGGUAGGAGUGGAAAAUCUACCAAGUGACGGUAACUAACCAGAAAGGGACGGCUAACUACGUGCCAGCAGCCGCGGUAAUACGUAGGUCCGGAGCGUUGUCCGGAUUUAUUGGGCGUAAAGCGAGCGCAGGCGGUUCUUUAAGUCUGAAGUUAAAGGCAGUGGCUUAACAAUUUUACGCUUUGGAACCUGGGGGACUUGAGUGCAGAAGGGGGGAGUGGAUUUCCAUGCGUAGCGGUGAAAUGCGUAGAUAUGUGGAGGAACACCGGUGGCGAAAGCGGCUCUCUGGUCUGUACCUGACGCUGAGGCUCGAAAGCGUGGGGAGCAAACAGG